GAGGGGAUAGCUCAGUGGUAGAGCAUGUGCUUAGCAUGCACGAGGUCCUGGGUUCAGUUCCCAAUACCUCCA
RNAcentral lists this transfer RNA (72 nucleotides) under Camelus ferus (Wild Bactrian camel). It matches the Rfam family "tRNA". Rfam says of the family: Transfer RNA (tRNA) molecules are approximately 80 nucleotides in length. Their secondary structure includes four short double-helical elements and three loops (D, anti-codon, and T loops). The record is from Rfam by way of RNAcentral. Lineage: Eukaryota; Metazoa; Chordata; Mammalia; Artiodactyla; Camelidae.